Molecule: ribosomal RNA, 496 nt
Filed under: Listeria monocytogenes
Lineage: Bacteria; Bacillati; Bacillota; Bacilli; Caryophanales; Listeriaceae
Description: bacterial SSU rRNA
Rfam family: Bacterial small subunit ribosomal RNA
Source: RNAcentral
UAACUCCGGGAAACCGGGGCUAAUACCGAAUGAUAAAGUGUGGCGCAUGCCACGCUUUUGAAAGAUGGUUUCGGCUAUCGCUUACAGAUGGGCCCGCGGUGCAUUAGCUAGUUGGUAGGGUAAUGGCCUACCAAGGCAACGAUGCAUAGCCGACCUGAGAGGGUGAUCGGCCACACUGGGACUGAGACACGGCCCAGACUCCUACGGGAGGCAGCAGUAGGGAAUCUUCCGCAAUGGACGAAAGUCUGACGGAGCAACGCCGCGUGUAUGAAGAAGGUUUUCGGAUCGUAAAGUACUGUUGUUAGAGAAGAACAAGGAUAAGAGUAACUGCUUGUCCCUUGACGGUAUCUAACCAGAAAGCCACGGCUAACUACGUGCCAGCAGCCGCGGUAAUACGUAGGUGGCAAGCGUUGUCCGGAUUUAUUGGGCGUAAAGCGCGCGCAGGCGGUCUUUUAAGUCUGAUGUGAAAGCCCCCGGCUUAACCGGGGAGGGUCAU